RNAcentral lists this transfer RNA (67 nucleotides) under Polypedates leucomystax (Java whipping frog). RNAcentral's name for it is "tRNA-Tyr". It matches the Rfam family "tRNA". Rfam says of the family: Transfer RNA (tRNA) molecules are approximately 80 nucleotides in length. Their secondary structure includes four short double-helical elements and three loops (D, anti-codon, and T loops). Further hydrogen bonds mediate the characteristic L-shaped molecular structure. tRNAs have two regions of fundamental functional importance: the anti-codon, which is responsible for specific mRNA codon recognition, and the 3' end, to which the tRNAs corresponding amino acid is attached (by aminoacyl-tRNA synthetases). tRNAs cope with the degeneracy of the genetic code in two manners: having more than one tRNA (with a specific anti-codon) for a particular amino acid; and 'wobble' base-pairing, i.e. permitting non-standard base-pairing at the 3rd anti-codon position. The record is from RNAcentral. RNAcentral also lists the same sequence under 1 other name. Lineage: Eukaryota; Metazoa; Chordata; Amphibia; Anura; Rhacophoridae.
GGUAAAGUGGCCGAGUAGGCGGUGGAUUGUAGCCCCAAGGACAGAGGUGUGAACCCUCUCUUUACCA